GGAUGUGAGGGCGAUCUGGCUGCGACAUCUGUCACCCCAUUGAUCGCCAGGGUUGAUUCGGCUGAUCUGGCUGGCUAGGCGGGUGUCCCCCUCCUCCCUCACCGAUCCAUGUGCAUCCCUCCCGAAGAAGCUGCGCGCUCCGCUCGGUCGAAGAGGACGACCUCCCCAUCCCCCGCCCCCCCAGGAGAGGACCGGUCUUCGGUCAAGGGAAUACGAGUAGCUGCGCUCCCCUGCUAGAACCUCCAAAAAGCUCUCAAAAAUAGAGAUUGUAUGAUUAUUCAAAAAUAAGAACUAUUUAAAAUUAGUAGUGUCUACUAAUUUU
This 322-nucleotide small nuclear RNA is filed under the name Myotis davidii. RNAcentral describes it as "7SK RNA". It matches the Rfam family "7SK RNA". Rfam says of the family: 7SK was discovered as an abundant small nuclear RNA in the mid-70s but a possible function has only recently been suggested. Two independent studies have found that 7SK RNA binds the CDK9/cyclin T complex (known as elongation factor P-TEFb). Lineage: Eukaryota; Metazoa; Chordata; Mammalia; Chiroptera; Vespertilionidae. The record is from Rfam by way of RNAcentral.